This 69-nucleotide transfer RNA is filed under the name Carcharias taurus (sand tiger shark). Its description in RNAcentral is "tRNA-Pro". It matches the Rfam family "tRNA". From Rfam's summary of the family: Transfer RNA (tRNA) molecules are approximately 80 nucleotides in length. The record is from RNAcentral. Lineage: Eukaryota; Metazoa; Chordata; Chondrichthyes; Lamniformes; Carchariidae.
CAGGGGGUAGUUUAGGCAGAAUCUUGGUUUUGGGGGCCAAGGGCAGGAGUUUGACUCUCCUUCCUCUGA